UUCAAUCAGGCAACACAAGCGGGGGCAUAGACAGUGGGCCUCUAGGGCCCAGCUGGCAGAUUGGGGCGGAAGUUAAGGUACCGGGCAAGCGGGCGGAGAGCGAGGCGUGGCGAAGGGUGGGCAGUGGGCUGGCUGGAGGCGGACGCUCUGCGAAGUUGCUAAGGCAACCUGCGUGCCAAAAAGCUCCACUGAGGCUCCGGAAGCAGCCUGCUCUUCUGUGGUCAGAUCUCCACACAAAGAGAGUGCUGAUUCUGACUGUGGCUCCAACAUUCUUGUGACAUUCGUUGGCUUCACCUUUAAAAAUCAACAUGGAUGAACCUGGAGGAUCUUUUGCUAAGUGAAAUAAGCCUGACACAGAAAGAAAGAAACUGCAUGAUUGCAUUUACAUAUGCAAUCUGAAGAAGUUGAAUACACAGAAGCAGAGAAUAGAAUGUGGUCACCACAGAUGGGUGCAAGACGGCCACGGACCAAAGAAUAUGGGAAGCAUCCAGAAGUUGGAAGAGGGAAGAUAAAGGAUUGUCCUCUAAACCUACAGAAGGAACAGCCCUGUCAUCACCUUGAUUUUACCCUAGGGAGAACCAUUUUGGACUUCUGACUUCUAGAACUGUAAGAUAAAAAAUGUGUGUAAUUUUAGCUCACCGAGUUUGUGGUAAUUUGUUACAGCAGCAAUAGGAAACUAAUAUAAUGACUCCUCUAGCUUUCUGGUCAUUUAAUCAUACACAAGCUUUUCAUUGUCUACUUUCAUUCGUUUUUGUGUGUGUGUGUUUGAGGAAGAUUACCCCUGAGCUAAUAUCUAUUCCCAA
Molecule: non-coding RNA, 803 nt
Organism: Equus caballus (horse)
Lineage: Eukaryota; Metazoa; Chordata; Mammalia; Perissodactyla; Equidae
Source: RefSeq, a predicted model, not a curated record